This is a non-coding RNA of Nothobranchius furzeri (turquoise killifish), 2520 nucleotides long. NCBI's taxonomy places the organism in Eukaryota, Metazoa, Chordata, Actinopteri, Cyprinodontiformes, Nothobranchiidae. The record is from RefSeq and is a predicted model, not a curated record.
ACAGCUGAAAUAGCAGGAAAUAAUACAGUUAAAGAGCAGAUUGUAGAAGAAAGAAACCCCUGGGUUAAACUGGUCUGUCUACUGCAUAAUGCUGAACUCUAACAUGUGUCCUAAGGGAAGGACCUGAUUGGUGUCCAGAACCUGCUGAAGAAGCACCAGGCUCUGCAGGCUGAGAUCACAGGUCAUGAACCUCGCAUCAAGGCUGUCACCCAGAAAGGAGAGACCAUGGUGGAAGAAGGUCACUUCGCUGGUGAGGAAGUGAAGACUAAACUGUGGGAGCUUCAUAGACGUUGGGACACGCUGAAGGCCAAGGCGUCCCAGAGGAGGCAGGACCUGGAGGACUCUCUGCAGGCCCAGCAGUACUUUGCGGAUGCUAAUGAGGCCGAGUCCUGGAUGAGGGAGAAGGAGCCCAUCGUUGGAAGUCCAGACUAAGGGAAAGACGAGGACUUGGCCGAGGCUGUCCUGAAGAAGCACGAGGCCCUGAUGUCGGACCUGUCGGCUUACGGCAGCAGCAUCCAGGCCCUGAAGGAGCAGGCCCAGUCCUGCAGGCAACAAGGUGAUCAGCAGGUGCUUUUGUCCUGCAGGACCUGAAGGCCAACGAGUCCCGCCUGAGGGACAUCAACAAGGUGGCAUCUGAACUGGAGUCAGAAGGUCUGAUGGCUGAGGAGGCUCCUAUGGUUCAGGCUCAGGUGAGCGUCACCUGUCUGCAGCAGCUGGUCCCUCUCACUUCCUGGUUUAACUCUGCUCGUCUCUGUUUGUAGCAACAAGAACAUCUGGGUUCUGCUCCUGGAAAGGUGCGUGUUGUCCUCCGCCUCCACCAGAACCAGACGUGGUGUUUAUGUUACCACUCAUUUGUUUGUUUACAGGAUGAAGCCGACUCUAACACGGCGUCACCCUGGAAGGUGAGUUCAUUCAGCUGAUCAGAGGUCACCUCUGAUGGCAGCAGUCACGGCCGACCGUGCUGACAUCACACAGGAAUUCAGGUGACCCGGCAGGCACCAGGUUUUGGUGAAAGUGGGGACAUGUCAGCUGGUUGCCAUGGCUAGUUAUCUUUAUGCAUCUGUAUGACUGCUGACUGGUGUGUGUUUCCUGUGACCUUUGACCUCAGACCGUACGGUUGGGCGUUCAGACGACGGCUAACUUUAAUUCCAUCAAGGUAAGAGGAAGCUCUUCCCUUCCUGUCUGAGCGAUCCGUCUCCAGGUUUCUUCGUCCGGCGUCCAGCCCGCUGGCAUCCACCUUCAUCUCACCUUCAUCUCAUCUCACUUCAUUUAUAGUGCAAUACUUUCACAUUAUCAUUUUCCCACACUUCUGUAUACCUGUAUUUUGUUGUUUUUCAAUAAAGAAUGACAAAUUAUUUAAGUUUGGUUUUUGUUGCACACAAAUAUAUAUCUGUAAAAAAUAUCUACAAAGCUAAUGUUUACAUAACAAGUAUGAUUGGGUUUUGCAAUACGGCACUCAAGUUUAUUUUAGUAAGAUUUUCAAACCAAGUAAAGUUAGUAAAGAACACAUUUCUAUUGUCUGCUAAGAAACUGUUGGGAUUUAAAAUGGGCCUGUUGUACAAAUAACUUGUAAAUGAUUAUUCCUCACUUUUGUCUUAACCAAAGAAAUUCCAGUAAUUGAGCAAAAACAUUUAUUUUUAACACUACAGUUUAUAAAACAGGGCGCAAAGUGUCGGCACAUGUAUGUAUGUCGAUGGUCCGCCCCAACCAAACCAAGAGACACAGACGUCAGGGAGGCCAAGGUUGUCUCUGCAGCUCUCUGGGCACCACGCCUCACUCAGCUGUCUCCAAUGAUCCAAAUGGCUAUGGAGGAAAAAAUAACAGGUUUGGCCUAGCUGUUUAAAGUACAAAACCAUUCAUGAAGUGGUCAAGACAAGUACUUGGAACUUACACGCUGCGUUGUGUAGCUGACGUUGGAGACACACAGGCUGCCAUGGUGACCUUUUAAUAGAUCUAAGAAAAAAAUGUAAUAAAAGAAUGAAACUUAAAAACUCCCAGACCUCAUGUCAUAUUUACUCAUCAGCUAUGGCUGAUUUGUUUGGAUCACAGUGAGUUACACUAAUUCUAAUAUAUUUUUAUUUCUAUUAUACAUACAUACUUUUUAACUGUUAUUUUCACAUGACUGUUAUAAGGCUCUCUUGUUCUGGUUCUGAUGAUAACUCUGUGUCUUCCAGUAAGUUAUCUUGUGCUUACUUCAUCUGUAUAAUGUCUCUUUACUUUUGGUAAAUUGUACUGAGUCCAGAAUAAAGGCUAGUUGGCUGUACAAGAUACAAACAAGUAUUACGUUUUGGAAAUAUAUGAAACACCGCCAGCAUCUGUUAGAGCCUGUGGCGGGGUGCUGAGGGCCGGCUCCAGCCCAGGAAUGAGCUCUACACGCCGGCCGGGAGGGUUUGAAACACCGCCAUCCUCUCCUCUGCUGGCUGUAAAUUCUGUUAUGGUUACCGGUGCUUGUGUUGCAAUGUGAAACGCUUGGUCUCAGAUUUUGUAAGAAAGAUAAUAAAAUGUCCCCCCAAAAUACGA